CACAUGCGUGUGUUAAUUGGUCUUUGUUGAUAAACACACACGCGGUAGAUUCCUGUGUCAACACUGCGGCCGGGCGCCGCUGGAGGAAGCGUGAUGGGGCGAUAAGCAGGAGGCGCUCCAUGUGCCCGGAGCCCGCAAAGCGCGGCCGCCCGCCGACGGCUCUCUCCCGCCGUGCUCCAUCUACGUUAUGCCGUCCUGCUACUUACACACGAACACUAGACGGGCCUCCCGACGUCCAGGCCGAGGGGUGAGGGACACAAUUCAACCGGUACCAUCAGCCAGCCCACCUCCAGCUCUGCCCCGCAUCAGAGGUCGCUCGCUUAUGCCCACCUUCAGAUCCUCUCGUCUUCGCCUGCUGGUCCAGUGGCCACCGCAGCACCCAGCUCUGCAAGGUUCUGACCGACUUCCUGCAGGUGUGACCUGGUGCCACAUCAUCUUAUACACUCACCGCACACCUUCUCACCCCUCCCCGGAGCUGCUCUGUUCAGGAGAGAGAGUCUGUCCUGAGACUUACACAGAAGAUCAAGUAAUCCGCUGCCUUUGAAAAACAGCCAGUUCAGUAACACGACUUCGAAUUGGCUCUCUCUCCCUCCCCGUCUCACUCCCCAUGUCCUCACUUCAUUCUCCAAUAAAGGAAAAGCCCAUAAGCCUCUGCCUCAGCUUCUCUUUACGGGAACCCAGGCCAGCUCAGCCACACUGAUCUCUCUAAAUGAAACCUGGCCAUGCCAUUCCCCUGCUUAAGGACCUCCAUGGUCCCUCCAUUACUCAUAAAGUUCAAACUGUCUAGCUGAAAGCCAGAUGGCAGCUUGGAGGUCAUCUGGUCAACAUUUUCCCUGCUGUAAUAUUCCAAGUCAUGGACUUUGGAAUUCAUCAGAUUCGGUUUCAAAUCUGGCUCUUUUUGAAAAUCUGGAUAAAGUUUUUUCCCCCUCCAUUCACUUCUUAUCUACCCAAUCUGAAGGUUGAAGAGGCAAUGCCUAUAGCGUGUCUAGCGCAGUGUUUGGGGCACUAAAUACGUAGUAGCCAGUAUUGUUACAGACGCAGAAUCAGAAACCAAGAUGCAGAAGGGGCCUCUGAGGAUAACACAGCCAGCUAGCAACAGCUUUACUACACAUGGAACCAAAAUCCUAUAAAACCCAAUGCCUACACCCCACAAAUAAGAGGGAAAUAUCACUCCCUUCAGAUUAACUUAAAAAGUUUUUAAAUGUAUUCACUCUUCAGAUACUUCUUUUGCACCUCCCCUAUGCAGAGAGUCCUCCAGGAGUCAAACCGUGAAUAAAACACACAAGGUCCUUGCCUUCAUGGGGUUUGCAUCCUAAUGGGGAAAUAAGGCACCACACAACAAAGCAAUAAAUGCAUGUAAGCGUGUCAUGGGGUGCCGAGUCCUAUGGCAUAAAGUAGGCAUGCGGGGCGAGGAGGUUGUAUUUUCAUAGCGUGGCUGGGGAAUUAAUCUUCUGAAAAAGGUUCACUUAAGGUGAAGGGAACAAGGGCGUGAAAAUGUGGAUAUCAGAGGGUAGCGUCGGGGUAGGAAGUACAAAGGACUGAAGUAAGAGCAAUUUGAGAGUGCUCCAGAGACAGCAGGAGGCUAGCGCUGCUGAAGGAGGUGGAAGAGGGGAAGGGUGGUGGCCAGUGAGGUCAGAGACAAGCAGAUGGCCAACUCGGGCAGGCCCUGGAGGAGGGAUGUGGCUCUUAGAGUGAUGGAAAACCAGUAAAGGGUUCUGAACAGAGCGUUUAAAGGACUGCUCUGCCCGAGUGAAACCCUCAGAGACAAGGCCACCGCAAUCAUCUUGGAGAGAGGGUGGUGAUGGCCUGGACCGGGGGGCAGAGCCCGGGAAGGUCAUUCUCGAUACAUUUUGAAGGCAGAGUUUAGAGAACUCACUGGAGGGCUGUAAGCGGAAUUGGACCUCAAAUGGUACAUUCUGAGAGUAAGUGAAGGAAAAGGAAUGAUAAAACUUUCUAUGAGAAAUGCUUGUUCCCCAGUCAUGGAGAUUAAAUGUGCAGACGUUUGGCAGUGACGUGAUGGAUAAGCUCUGGGUAUCAAAAAAGCUGUGCCCACGGGCCUUGGACAGCUGUGGUGACUUAUACUUAUCCUUAACUCUUUAUAUCUGUUAUCCUUAAGUAUUUAUGCACUUGGAGGGUUUCCAACACAUCUUCAUUUGCCUAGCAGCUACAAUGUGUGAUGUGGUUCCCAAUGGGGAUACAGGCGCAAACAAAAACUCAGCAUCCUUGGGAAGCUUCCUUUGGAAGCUGGAUGUACAAACCUGAGAGCAGGCUGGAGAGUCACAUCUGAGAGCAUUAGACGCAUAAACAGUGAUGUUGAAAGCCAGGAAGCUGGGUGAGGCCACCUAGGGAACUAGAGGUGGGCCUCCCUGUCUCUCGGGCGGGGGGGGGGGGACAUGCCAGUAUUCCGAGGGCAGGGACACCAGGUCCAAGAAGGAACCUGAGAAGGACGGUCCAGCAGAACCAUGAGUGGGGUGUCCCGGAAAAGCCACAUGCAGAAAGAGACUCGAGGAGAAGGGAUUGAUCGACCAGCUGCCAAACAUUGCUAAUUGGCCACAAAAGACAAAACUGAGAACUGACCGUGGGAUCUGGCGACAUGGGGAGGUCACUGGUGGCCUUGGCAAGAGCUGUUUGGAUGGACAGGUGAGCACAAAAGAGCAUGGGAGGAGAGCAGCAGAGACUUCAAGAUCAGACAAGCCUUUGGGGGAGCUCUGGGCAAAGGAGAGGCCAGAAGUGAGGAUGCUGGACGCUCAGGAGGGGAGCGGGCACAGGGUCGCGAACAGCAGAGGUCUGCUCUUUCAUGGCGACCCCUCAACAGCGGCCGGGCUACAGCAAAACAGGCACAAGCCGCUGAGCACAAACCAUUCCAGCCUCUUUGGAAGUCAGUUUCACAGUACGCGUCAGGAGCCUUGAAAAAUGUCCACGGCCU
RNAcentral lists this long non-coding RNA (2926 nucleotides) under Canis lupus familiaris (dog). RNAcentral describes it as "lncRNA (ENSCAFG00030000478.1)". The record is from RNAcentral. Lineage: Eukaryota; Metazoa; Chordata; Mammalia; Carnivora; Canidae.